This 195-nucleotide unclassified non-coding RNA is filed under the name uncultured Ascomycota. Its description in RNAcentral is "sequence contains ITS1". Lineage: Eukaryota; Fungi; Ascomycota. The record is from RNAcentral.
ACGAGUUAGGGUCUCCUAGGCCCGACCUCCCAACCCUUUGUUUACUGAACCUUUGUUGCUUCGGCGGACCCGUCUUCACCGACCGCCGGGGGACUGCCGAGAAGCGUCCUCUGGCCAGCGUCCGCCGACAGCCAACCUUUCAAACUCUUGAAUAAAUCGUGUCUUAUGUCUAAGUCCAAGAUUAAAUUAAAAGCA